RNAcentral lists this ribosomal RNA (253 nucleotides) under uncultured bacterium. RNAcentral's name for it is "partial 16S ribosomal RNA". It matches the Rfam family "Bacterial small subunit ribosomal RNA", at positions 524 to 776 of the family's 1533-position model. The record is from RNAcentral.
GACAGAGGCCACGAACGUUGUUCGGAAUUACUGGGCAUAAAGCGCACGUAGGCGGCUAGGUCCGUCCGAUGUGAAAGCCCCCGGCUCAACCGGGGAACAGCAUCGGAUACAGCCUGGCUUGAGGACGGUUGGGGUGAGUGGAACUCCUGGUGGAGCGGUGAAAUGCGUAGAUAUCAGGAGGAACACCGGUGGCGAAAGCGGCUCACUGGACCGUUACUGACGCUGAGGUGCGAAAGCAUGGGGAGCGAACAGG